Molecule: ribosomal RNA, 445 nt
Filed under: uncultured bacterium
Lineage: Bacteria
Description: bacterial SSU rRNA
Rfam family: Bacterial small subunit ribosomal RNA
Source: RNAcentral
AACGAACGCUGGCGGCGUGCCUAACACAUGCAAGUCGUGCGAGAAAGUUCCUUCGGGAGCGAGUAAAGCGGCGCACGGGUGAGUAACACGUAGGUAACCUGCCCCCCAGUCUGGAACAACUAGAGGAAACUCUAGCUAAUGCCGGAUGAGACCACGAUCCCUUCGGGGGUUGCGGCCAAAGAUGGCCUCUACUUGUAAGCUAUCGCUGAGGGAUGGGCCUGCGGGCCAUUAGCUUGUUGGUGAGGUAACGGCUCACCAAGGCUGUGAUGGCUAGCUGGUCUGAGAGGAUGACCAGCCACACUGGGACUGAGACACGGCCCAGACUCCUACGGGAGGCAGCAGUGGGGAAUAUUGCGCAAUGGGCGAAAGCCUGACGCAGCGACGCCGCGUGGGUGAUGAAGGCCUCGGUCGUAAGCCUCGUCGCACGGGGAAGGAAGUAAGACGA